AUGAACAGCAAAGGCAAGGACCGAGGGUGGCAGAGGUCGUCGGGGGGAGUACUGCUGGCCCAGAGCGAGCGGAUUCGGAGCCCAGGGUCACCAAACGCAAGGUUUGGGGUGGGCUGCGCCAUGCUCCCUGGCCGGCUGCAGUCCAGGGCGCUGCGCCUGACGCCUUCGUCAAACCGAAAUUACGGCAGCUUGCUGCCUCCAGGCCCUUUCCUCCGUAAACUCUGUGGCGCAGUUUGGAGCUGCGGGCUCGGGUGGUGGGGGGGGCCUUGACAUGAUGGGCAUCCGUAGGAGCAAAUAGAGCGCUAGCGCAGGCAUUCGCGUAGGCCAAUGGAGAGCCGGCGGAGGCGGGGCGCCGCGCAACGGAACCCCCGGCGGGGCCGAACUUAACUACUGAAUUGCUGGAGUUGGUUCGUGGGCCGGGGCCUGUGAGGUCUCUUCUCCUUCCCUUCGCACCCCCUCGCCCUUCGCUGACGGGAUCAGAACUUCUCCCCUUUUCUGUGGUUGUACCAGUGUGUCUGUCGGAACAUGAUUCCCAUAACGCAGGAAUAGGUUGAGGGGGUAAAAAAGGAAUAGAAAAAAAAAAAAAAAAAGCCGAGCGAGGUUGCUCACGCCUGUAAUCCCAGCAGUUUGGGAGGCCGAGGCGGGCGGAUCACCUGAGGUCAAGAGUUCGAGACCAGCCUGGCCAACGUGGUGAAACCCCGUCUCUAUUAAAAAAUGCAAAAAUUAGCUGGGCGUGGUGGCGGGCGCCUGUAAUCCCAGCUACUCGGGAGGCUGGGGUAGGAGAAUUGCUUGAACCCAGGAGACGGAGGUUGCAGUGAGCCGAGAUCGCGCCACUGCACUCCAGCCUGGGCAAAAGAGCGAGACUCCGUCUCGGAACAAACAAAAAACCAAACCUGAUCCCCCGCUUUUCCAGUGAGGAUAUUCCUCCUCACCCCUGCACCCUUUUCCCAGUCUCACGGUUCACUUCCAUCAUUCACACCCUUUGUUUGGAAGUCGACCUUGAAUAGUAAUCUGUAAGGAAAAUCAGAACUGCUGUUACCCACGAAGUCUGGGCUGGUUGUAGACAGGCUGUGGAGACUACCUAGAGCAGAGGCACCCUUGAUAAGCCAGAACAGCAGCAGGCCAGAACCCCAGACCUGUCCUGCAUUCCGGAGGGAACUUGGGCCCAGGUAGACUUAACCCCUUACUUCGGUAUGUUAGUAGGAGCAGUGAGCAGUGCCUUUCUUUUCUCGUCAGAAUCCAGCACCUUCCAUUUUAAGGGUGCAAAGACAAUGCAUAUUUUCUUAGUUCCAGGAAUCAGGCCCUCUGGGGCAGACUAUUUGCAAAUCCCCUUCUGCUUGCUCCCACUAAGUUAGCUACCCGAUAUGACCUGCCUCAUUUUGGUAGCUCUGUGUAGUAGGCAACCUUCAUUUUUUUCUUGUCUUUCAGGUCAAUAUCCAACACAGCCAACCUACCCUGUGCAGCCUCCUGGGAAUCCAGUAUACCCUCAGACCUUGCAUCUUCCUCAGGCUCCACCCUAUACCGAUGCUCCACCUGCCUACUCAGAGGUGCUUCCAGUUUGCCAGAUUUGAACUAGCUGGGAAUACUCUUAGGGUGGUCCUUUAGUCCUUAGCUAAAUCUGACUUCACAUAUUUACUCUUCACAAAUGUUAACAUGAAUAAUCUAAAACACUAUAUAAUUUGGCAAUUUUUGUCGGAGUUGAAAGUGCAUUAUUUGAUGAUUUUGUGUUAUUUGGCACAGGCUGAGGUGCAGAAGAUGAAUUUGCGUCCUGUGAGCCCAACAUUAGCUAUAGCAGAAAGUGAUCCAGGAGAAUAUUGAAGGCCAGUGGAAAGGCAACUUGUAUAAUCUUACAAAAAGUAUAACCUGCACAAGGAGAAUUAAGAAUUAGCUCAUUAAAGAGAUCUCAAAUAGGAAUGUCAUAAAGUAACAUUUUGCCUUCUCUUCUGCCUCUUCUAGCUCUAUCGUCCGAGCUUUGUGCACCCAGGGGCUGCCACAGUCCCCACCAUGUCAGCCGCAUUUCCUGGAGCCUCUCUGUAUCUUCCCAUGGCCCAGUCUGUGGCUGUUGGGCCUUUAGGUUCCACAAUCCCCAUGGCUUAUUAUCCAGUCGGUCCCAUCUAUCCACCUGGCUCCACAGUGCUGGUGGAAGGAGGGUAUGAUGCAGGUGCCAGAUUUGGAGCUGGGGCUACUGCUGGCAACAUUCCUCCUCCACCUCCUGGAUGCCCUCCCAAUGCUGCUCAGCUUGCAGUCAUGCAGGGAGCCAACGUCCUCGUAACUCAGCGGAAGGGGAACUUCUUCAUGGGUGGUUCAGAUGGUGGCUACACCAUCUGGUGAGGAACCAAGGCCACCUUUGUGCCGGGAAAGACAUCACAUACCUUCAGCACUUCUCACAAUGUAACUGCUUUAGUCAUAUUAACCUGAAGUUGCAGUUUAGACACAUGUUGUUGGGGUGUCUUUCUGGUGCCCAAACUUUCAGGCACUUUUCAAAUUUAAUAAGGAACCAUGUAAUGGUAGCAGUACCUCCCUAAAGCAUUUUGAGGUAGGGGAGGUAUCCAUUCAUAAAAUGAAUGUGGGUGAAGCCGCCCUAAGGAUUUUCCUUUAAUUUCUCUGGAGUAAUACUGUACCAUACUGGUCUUUGCUUUUAGUAAUAAAACAUCAAAUUAGGUUUGGAGGGAACUUUGAUCUUCCUAAGAAUUAAAGUUGCCAAAUUAUUCUGAUUGGUCUUUAAUCUCCUUUAAGUCUUUGAUUUAUAUUACUUGUUAUAAAUGGAACGCAUUAGUUGUCUGCCUUUUCCUUUCCAUCCCUUGCCCCACCCAUCCCAUCUCCAACCCUAGUCUUCCAUUUCCUCCCGCCAGUCUCCAUUGAAUCAAUGGUGCAGGACAGAAAGCCAGUCAGACUAAUUUCCUUCUUUCCUCGCACUUCUCCCCACUCGUCAUCUUUUAACUAGUGUUUUCACAAGGAUCCUCUGAAACCCUCUCUGUGCCCCAAGUACAGAUCCCAUUACUUCUGCUUUCGUAUCUCCUCAGGCAAAAGUGGAGGGUGCCUUAUGGGCCCUCCUCAUAGGUUGUCUCUGCAUACACAAACCUAACCCAAAUUUGCUUUGGUGCCAGAAAAACUGAGCUAUGUUUGAACAAAGAUGUCGUGCAAACUGUACUGUGAACAACAGUUGGUUUAAAAUAUGAGGGGCAAGGAGGAGGAUGCAUUUCAAAAGCUUGAUUGAUGUGUUUAGAGCUAAAUUAAGAGGAGUUUUCAGAUCAAAAAUUGGUUACCAUUUUUUGUCAGAGUGUCUGAUGCGGCCACUCAUUCGGCUCCCCAGAAUUCCUAGACUGGGUUAAUAGGGUCAUAUUGUGAAUGUCUCACUACAAAAUGACUUGAGUCCAGUGAAAUCUCAUUAGGGUUUAAGAAUAUUUCAGGGAUCCUUAAUGUUUUGAUUUUUGUUUUCUGAAAUUGGAUUUUAUUUUAUUUUAUCUUAUAAUUUCAGUUCAUCUAAAUUGUGUGUUCUGUACAUGUGAUGUUUGACUGUACCAUUGACUGUUAUGGAAGUUCAGCGUUGUAUGUCUCUCUCUACACUGUGGUGCACUUAACUUGUGGAAUUUUUAUACUAAAAAUGUAGAAUAAAGACUAUUUUGAAGAUUUGAAUAAAGUGAUGAAGUUGCAUUAC
Molecule: small RNA, 3658 nt
Filed under: Pan troglodytes (chimpanzee)
Lineage: Eukaryota; Metazoa; Chordata; Mammalia; Primates; Hominidae
Description: retained intron
Source: RNAcentral